This is a non-coding RNA of Heterocephalus glaber (naked mole-rat), 5148 nucleotides long. The record is from RefSeq and is a predicted model, not a curated record. NCBI's taxonomy places the organism in Eukaryota, Metazoa, Chordata, Mammalia, Rodentia, Bathyergidae.
AUGACCAAUAAGUACAUAAAAAGCUUUUCAGCAUCUUUGGCCAUUAAAAAACAAAAAUCAAAACACUGAUAUUCCAUCUUACUUCAGUAAGAAUGGGUAUCAUCAAAGACUCAAGAAACAACAAAUUUUGGUGAGGUUGUGGGGAUAAAGGAAACUUCUACAUUGUUAAUGGGAAUGUAAACUAGUAGAACCCCUAUGAAAAUCAGUAUGGAGAUUUCUCAGAAAACUAAAAGUAAAAAACUUCAAUUUGACCCAGUUAUACCCUUUCUGGGUAUCUUUCCAAAAGAGUUAAAGUUAUCAUAUUAUAAUGAUUAAUGAAUACUCAUGUUUAUAGCAGCACAGUUCACAAUAGCUAAAUUCUGGAAGUUACCUAUACUGUAUGCCUAUCAACAAAUGAAUGGAUAAAGAAAAUGUGGAAAAUAUACACAAUAGAGUACUACUCAGCCAUAAGAGGGAUAAAUAUGAGUUAUUUGUAGGAAAAUUGAUGGAUCUUGAGAUAUAAUGCUAAGUGAAGUAAAUCAGACACAGAAGGUUAAAUAUCACAUGGUUUUUCAUAUGAGAAAGCCAAAAUAUAAAUAAUUUAAACAGCAAAAUAAAGAUGGCAGGAAACAGGAAGAUUUUGAAGAUGGGAAGAUCUGGGAAAGGAAAAGAGGGGAAAGGGAAAGAAGAGUAAAGAUGAUCAACAUGCAAUAUGUGAAUGUACCAAUUCCCAAAAAUGAAUGUAAUUAUUAUAUGUCACAAACAUAUAUUAAUAACAAAUUUUAAAAAAGAAAAGAAAAAGCCUAAGCCUGGCCUGAUAGCCUGGGAUCAUGGGUGGGAGGCUGAGGACAGGUGUGGUUUCAGUGGGGGCUGUCUAGUGAUGAGUUCUCAUAGAAAAUUGCUGAGAUUCCUGGCAUGGCAGGUUUCUAUAUGGGAUCAUUUCUCUGAUUGUUCUAUAAUUCACGACUGCAUAUUAUAAAUUUUGAUCCAUUGCCUUGGGUUCUAAUUGGAGAACAUUCUCCAUUUCAUAGAGUUGCUUUCUUUAGUGGUGACAAGGGGAAUACUGUUCCUGCCACUCCCUGGGUAGGGAUCCUAUGUAUUCUGAGUACAUCCAACGUAUGCUCAUAUGAGAGUUUGUUAAAGAUUUUUUUUCCAUUCUCUAAUAAAUAUUUAUCAAGAAAGAGAUCAACAACGGUCUUUGAUUAGAUUCAGUGCCAAUUGGUGUCUGGCAUGCUUGGCAUUAUUCUGUCCCUGGCCCCUUUGCAUGUGCUGGGUUGUAGGUGGCAAUCAAGGAAUUAAGGCUGCAGCUGAAGCAGUGGUCCCAGAAACCCUCUUAGACACUGGAAAGUGACCUGGGCAGGGAAGUAAAUUGUUCUUCCUCUUUGAGCUUGGGAGAUGAGGCCUGGAGUUUGAGCACAGAUGUGCCAUCUUGAAAAUAAAAGAAGGAUUGGCUCGAGGAGAGAUGCUUGGAGUAGUCUUGGGUUAGGCAUGGUCCUGGAUGUCUCUGCACAGACUUUCUUGGGUGCUCAGAGAAUUGGGGAAUAUCCAGCAGUGCCUCUAAGCCCAGUCCAGGGAGAUGGACCUUUUCCUAGGCUGUUCCCUCGAGAAGCCCAGAAUAUCCUUGAGGGGCCUGGUCUUAUUCAUGUCUCUUAUCUUUGCUUCUGACCCAAGUCCAGCAACGAUUGUUGCUCUAAUGUCAUGUGAUCCAGCAAGGCUCUAAGACCAGACUCUGCCUCCAACUCUAGCCACACUUUUCCCACUCUCCAGUUACUUGUCACUCACACAAUACAUGUUGUUUUCCAUUCUUUGGCUACAUCAAGGUCCUCCCCUGCCAUGUCUACUUCCCUAAAUGCUGUUCUCUUUGUCUAGAACACUUUAUCUACUUCUUUACCUGGCUGAUUUAUCCACAUUGACAGGUUCCAGCUUAUUGUUUUUUUUUUUGUUUGUUUGUUUUUGUUUUUUUUAGUAUCAGGGAUCAAACUUGGGACCUUGCACUUGUGAGGCAGGUGGCAGCACCACUGAGCUAGAUCCCUGGCCUGACAGGUUCCAGUUUAGCUAUCAUUUCCUCCAGGAAGUCUUCCUUGACUUGCAAACUAGGUCAGGCUUCCUGGCUGGUGCUGUCUUUGUUCUUAUGUCUGCAAUUAGAGGUUCACUUGGGUAAUAAUUGGUCCAAUGUCUUCCUCACAACUAGAUGGUAAACUCUGUGAUGGGAAAGACCGUGGACAUUUUCUGACCUGAAACUUGCAUAAUAAGUGAGCAAAACUUUUUGGAGAAUAAAUGAUUCAAAUUUCUCACACUUCAGUCACAUAACAAUUCAAACAUGGGGUAGCUGGUGCUGUACCAAACAAACAGGCUUUGUUUUGCAGUUAAUGAAUUAGUGAAGGCAUAGCAAUUGAUUGCUUUUUAUGUGUAGAGAAAUUAUCUCUGUCCUGAUUUUCAAUAUCUGUGCUAUUUUGGGCUGUUUUUCUCUUUUUGGCCUAUUUGUAUUGCCGCAAUAAUUUCACCAUUUGGCUUCACAGAGGCCCAAUAACUAUUACAAAUAAGGUUCCAUAAAAUUUACUUCUUGACAUUAGAAUGUUUUGUUGCUAAUUACUCUCUGAGGUUUUUAAUUUCAAUCCCUCCUAGGUGAUUUAGUGCAGAAAUUCAAGGGCACAGUUAUUUCCCCCAAAGGGAAAGGAGAACUAAGUAAUGCCAAGUUUCUAUUUGCCCUACCUUCUGGUAGAGCUAUCUCAGUUUUGAUUCUAUCUAUUGUACUUUAUCCUGGCCAGAAAAGAAUAAGUGAACAAAAAUCUUACUGGAAAAAAGAUAUAAAUUCUUGGGGAAAAAUAAAAGUACUCUUUCACUAAUGUAGUCAUUUGAACAAUAUUUAUUGAGUACUUAUGAGGUGUGAUCCAAAAAUAAGAUGAAUGCUUAAAUUUUUAAAAAAUUAAGUAAAAGACAUUACCAUGAAUCCCUCCUCAAAAUACUCCCCCUUGCUUUGAACACAGUUACUCUGUCAUUCUUUGAAGCACUUCUGGAAGUUCUCUCUUGUGUCUUUAGUUGUGCUGUUGUGGUUGCCUAGAUGUUCUGAAUCAGUUCAAAACAUUUACUACCUUUCAUGGUCAUUUUGACUUUCAGGAAGAGCCAGAAGUCAUAUGGUGCCAGAUCUGGUGAAUAAGGUAGUUGAAGACAUACAGUAAUGUUUUUACAAGGCUGCCGUUCUGUUGGCUGGCAGCAUUCAUUAUAUUUUUUGUCACACCUUGUAAAGACAGUCAGAAAAGAGGACUGUCAGAACUGCUUCAGAAAGUGGCAAGAACAAUAGGAUAAAUAUUUUCAAAAUGAGGGGGAUUAAUGGCAAUCUGUCUUUUACUGUAAUACUUUAAAAAAGGUUAAAAAAUAUUCACUGUAUAUUUUGAUCACACCUUGAAUUAUGCAUCAGAUUCUGUGUUCUAGGCAUGGAAGAUGAAUAAAAGAAUACAACAUGUUGCUGUCUCCAGGUAGUUCACAGAGUUGGGUGGGCAAGAAAUGUUGAAGAUUCUCAGGCAUGUCUGGGAGUGAAUCUCAUGGUGGAACUUGGUAGCAAAAGCCCAUCCAGAAGUGUCAUAUCAGUCUCCAGGGGUUGAAAUGAGGGGAACUUUGGUUAUUUUUCAUUUGAAGACACUGUCUAACUGGAAAGAAUGUGAAUUUUAAUAAUAUUUUGAAUGGGUUGAUAAAAUAGGAACAGAUGGUUAAAGUUUGUCAUUUCAGGAAAAAUAAUGAAAUAUUGCACAGCUGAAUCUGCCUCUCUUUCACACUCUUCCCUAUCCCCUCCCCACCGCAGAUACACUCAGAUGCAUGAAAAUUUAAAGCAAAAUACUAAUAAUAUCUUUUAGCCACUUUAGGUCUCCAUACCCAAAAGGACCCUAACUUUUUCAGUCAUUUCUAUGUUACUGUGUUAGCCUUUUAUUCCAAUGGUGCAUCCUGAGAGGAGCCUUUCUACAGGAUAUUGCUUUGUGGGGAUAUAAGAGAUGGUGGGGAAGUGAGACUUGCCUGAGUGUCUCUCUGCCAUGAAGAAAACUGGCUUUGCUUUAUUGACCAGAGCAGAUGUACUCUUUGAGGAACUCAGCAGGGUAAGUAUGAGUUGGGUAAGAUAUCCUAUCUACCAGCUCCUAGGAUUUUUAUGAGUAGAAGCUCUAACUGCUGACACGUUCCUGGUCAAGAGAAAGCAGAUCCUCACCAUUAUCACCUGUACUUUCUUGGAUUUAUUCCAGUUGCACAUCUCUGAAGUUUUCCUUUUAUUCUGCUUGGACAGCACAUUAGAUGAGAUCAAACGCUGAGAGAGAGACAUAAGCACUGCUUUGGCACUGUUGCUAGAAACUCUUGGGAGAAUGAGCAUUGUGUACCAUUUGCCCAUUGCUUGCCGACUUCAGUAGCAAGAGUCUUCAGAAUGCUCCUGGAUAAACAUAAUCUUUGUGGCCAUACAUUGUUUUAUGAGCUGAGUCUUUAGCUUGGCUGGCUCCUUAAAUGCUGCUGUCUGAUUCUCCAGGCAGCAGAAAACAAGGAAAGAAGAGCUCACCGAGCUUUGUGGAUGGCCAAUUUCACUUGCCAAAGGUGAUGGGGAAUUUACCCUUAUGGAAUUUGCUUAUGACAGAAGAAUUGCUGAUCAACUUAAAUUUCAUUUCUGAUAGAAAGAUGAUGCUGUCUGCAUUUCUUGUACAUUGUUUACAGAAUGUGUGUUUGAUUAUAGGCUAUUUUGAAUAUCCACCAGUCUGAAAGAGUUUCCUGCUGAAAGCAUGACUACUUCCUUACUCAUCGAGUUUCGUUUAUCAUUUAAGGAUGAAUGCCCUCCUAUCCUGUAGCUGAGGUGUGCAAUCAUGGUGUGGACAAUUUUUUUGGAGGGAGUCUGAAGAAACUGUUAUCUAAGAUGGAUUCAUACUGGAAGCAAGAGAGCAAACUGGGAAAAAUGGCCUUAGGCUCUGUGAUUGUCAUUGUGUACAUUAGACAAGACAAUGAAAGUAGAGGAUGAAAUAAGACCUUUCUGGUUGUUCAGAAGGCCUGUGUAGCUUGGCCCCACUUACUGGACAGAGCUUCCUGGAGAGAGUUUUUCGAGAAUGUGGCUUCAUUCCAUAGUAUUGCUUUAUGGUGGCCAUUGGGCAGGGGGAUCUAUCUUCCUGGGAGUUAGUUACAUAAAUAAAGACAUCUCUUUUGUUA